UGCAGGAGCUUUGGGGUCCUGUGGGUACUGGACUCUUUAUCAGCUUCUCUGCUGACUUCCUAUGUGAUCUUGGAGAAGUCAAUUUGGAUGCAGUUUUCAGAAGCACUGCUGAAAGCUGCCAUCUUUUUGGAGCACUGCUGCUUCUUGCUGCUGUUUCUGUGUAUGUGCCCUUGGCCUGAGGCAGUGGGAUCCCUGUCUCAAGUAACAGUGAUGGCAUCUCAGAGUGGUGCAGUAUGUACCUUCCAGUGAUCGCGAAUCUCCACUGACUGCCAUGGCCUUUUGAAGAGGACAAAGAGUAGCCUCACAAUGAUGUUGGGCUGCUCCUUCAGCACCCUCAGACACAUCUGCUCUGGCCCAUGGAGGUCUGUAUAUCCAAGCGGGUUAAGUGAUCCCUAACUUCAACUUCCUCUCCUGUGAGUACUUCAUGUGCUUCAUACCCAUGGACUCAGCUGUGAGGCUUAUGGACCUGGGAAGUCUGGGGGGGCAAAGCCUACCAGCAAAAACUGAGGCAAAAAGGCAUUGUAUAACAGCCUUUUAGAUGUUCUUUGUCAUUAGAUCCAAUGAGCAAUAGGCCCAUGCUGUUUGCUGGCAACAUACUUUAAAAAAUCCUACUUGUAUUUCACAUCCCUUGCUAGUGCCAGCUCCAGCUGAGUUUUGGCUUUCCCAGCUCCAUCCCUGCCAGGGCAAGCAGUGUCUCUGUUCCUCCUGGGCUGUUUGCCUCUGCUUCCACCUUCUGUGGACUUCUUUUUUAGUACUUAGAUCAGUCUUCCUCUUCAGUUUUAGCUCUGUGAUCCACUAAUGUGUCUUCUGCUCUAACCCACAGAAACUUUGCCAUCAUUCUCACAGGAACAAUAAUAUGGUCUUCAUUUUAAUCGUGUUCCAGUUUCUUUUGUGCUUGAUCUAGAAAGGAAAAUGCAUGAGGCCAAUACUUGGCAAACCCUUUUCGUAUAGCAGUUAAGAAUAAAUAGAUGUACCACUGAGCUAAUAAUCAGACAAAUCUUAUAUGCAAAGUGGAUUGUGAAAAUAUGUAUUUGUUUUUUGAAAAUGUUUUCAAACUUACUUGCCUUCCACAAUAUUUCAAAGAAACUGUGUUAAUUCAGAUUUCUCCAUUUUUUUCUGUGAACCAUCUUUCUCUCUGAACAGUCCACAGACAUUCACUGAAGGUGCUUAUACUUAAGAUGACAUUCCACUCUUUGUGAGAGACUGCUGCUUUAACAGGCCUGUUUACAUUGCAUAGAUUCUACUUUUAAUGAUUUGGGGACAUACAUUUUGAAAAUUAUUUUAUUCCAGCAUUCAAGCUUUUGGAAAUCCACCUUUUCCCAAUUGGCUUUGAACUGCUCAAAUAUUAGUUGAAGGACAAGAGUGAAUCAGCAACAGAAUUGAGUAAAACUUAAUUUUGCGUUUCUGAUUUUCUACUGAUCAUCUCACCCUCCUUUGCAGUUGAAGAAGGCGCUUACAGGUAAAAGCUGAGGGGCUGUAAACUUCUCUUAAUUUUUUUGCAUAGGAUAAUGCAACUGUCACAGUUUCAGAGGAACAACACAGAACAAGUUUUAUUUGUUUGUAAAACAUAGCAUAGGUUGUACAGCCUGACUGAUUUUAAUUACAAUAAUACACAAGAGAACAGUUUGAAGAAAGAGAUCAGCAAAACUUGAUAAGUUUUCUACACCAGAGCAUGAUUUAGUUUUUACAGAUCUCUGAUCUGAUAGCUACAGUUAUGCUUGUUCAUUGCCCAUGAUCUGUUUAGGUCUUGCAUUUACACUUUAAAGAAGCUUGCAGGAAAGUUUUGAUUUAUUAAAGUGCUCACAAGUUAAACGUAUAGCUUGAAAGGGAUAGCCAGGUGAAAUAGCAUCUUUCAGUGUUCCCACUGAUUUUCCUAUGUUUUGGAGCAAUGUAACUUUAAGCCAGUGUGUCACAGCACAUGAAGUUCCUGUGAAAGUCAGUCAGGAUAUAUCCUGUAGGUUUGUUAUGGAGCAUGCAACCACAAAAUAUGGAUCAGAAACAUAAAAAUGGACCCAGAAAUCUGCAACUAGUUAGGGCUGUGCAAGAUGUCCACAAUGAAAACAGAAACUUGCAUGAGAUUUGUUUAGUUUAAGGAUUUGCUUAAAACUCAGAUUAAAAACUGUUUUGUCUUUUGACAAACUAUUUGUCCAAAAGUUUGUUCAAGUCCACUAACUUGCCUGCUAACUCUAAAUUAAUUUUUAGAUAAACCUGGGUUGAUUUAUAAGCUGGUAUCAAAAAUCACACUAAACUUGUGGUUUCGUACGGUUUAAACUGGCCAUGCUAUAAAAACAAGGUAGCUUUCGGUGGUUUUGGCUGGGUUUUGAAUGGCUAUUUUGAGUUCAUUAGAGCCCCAAACUGAAGGUAGAAAGUCUAGAGGUGCCAACACUGCGGGAGCCAUGUUGGCUUCUGCAAGGGCAGGACUAUAAGUGGAGGAAUCUGUCUUUUCUCGGGGUUAGAGGCGCUUCUGUGCUCUAUCACAGAAGAAAGCAAGUUCGUGUGUCGUAAAGGGGGAGUAUGCAUUCAGGCAGAAGAGUAACCGCUGCAAGUUCAAGACUUAUUUAUCCAGUUGUGAGUUGAGAGUGUUUCUACUUGCUUUAUUAUGUCUACUAGUAUUAACCUCUUUCUUCAACUCAUGCCAGAUUUUAUCAGCGAUAUAUGUUUUGACAGGCGAGUAGCUAUUUUUGGAAUGGGGCUUGCGUUUCCGUAACCACUUCUUCUGCAUCUGUCUUUGGUGAUUCAGGAGGGAAUUCAUCCACUUGUCUUCUCUGAAGUCUGACCCUCCAUGCUUCUUCUAUUAUGUGCACAAUUUCACAUAUUAAAUUUAUUUCUUGUGUUGUGUUUAUUUUAAAACUUUAUUCAGUCACAUGUCACUGUGUGCAUUUAAAAGGAGCCACAGAUAUUUACAAGGCAAUUUUAACAUUUAGCAAUUACUUUUGUCGGGCUUGGUGCUUUAAUAGCUGUGGUUGUAUCAACCUUGGCUGAUAUUUCCUAAUUAUUCAUACCUAGAAGUAUUAUCAGCCAUCACAGAGUGUUACCAGCAUCAUUUUAAGCUCUCUUCACCUUCUUCAGUCUGGGUUUUAUUUGAAAAGCAGACAUGCAGUCCCCAGUGAGAAUUAAAGUAGAAGCAUUAGCUUGCAAAAUAUAUGCCAAUGACCUAAUGAUUCUGACAUUUCCACAAUACAAGCUUUACAAGAAGGCAUGCAGACAGCAAAGUCUGUUUUUCUAUCUCAUAUUUUUUUAAUGGCUAAAUGUUUGGAGGAAACAAAAUGGAUUUAUUCUGCUCAAUCCAGGGUAUAAUAUCAGGACUUAUCCGGUUCCGGGCCCCAGGGCUUCAGACAACUAACAAAACACAUCUUACUUCUGCUCUGCUAGUUCUCUGUUAUGCUUUUCACAUGCAGGAAGAAAGAGUAAAAGCAUAACCCAAUUGAAUAAAGCAGCAUGGCCUGCUAUUCUUUGCUUAUGAAGCAUCACAUGAUAGACACCAGAUUAAGAAGAACCCCCCACCUGUGGUUAAGUGUGUAUGCAACUGUCAAGCCGUUUUAUUUAAUAUAGAGGGAACUUCAACAUCCCUUUUGCUGCCAGAGUGCAAGAAUACGUUAAAAACAUUAAUGUCUUACCAGAGCAUGCUUCAAUUUUUUUAAUAAUCCAGUGAUUUUAUGUCAUUUAAAUAGAAUCAAAGAUGCUGCUCCCCGAUCUAUUUUGAAAUGCUCUAAUCUAUCAAAUCUUUUGCUCUGAUAUAUGGAAAGAAAAGUAAUCUGAGGUUCUCCUUGUAGAGUUUAAGCUGCAAUUUGUUUUUUGGCUAUUCAGUCGCUGUUUAUAUAAGGAUGUAUAGGGAUAGGGCUGUUUGCCAUGAUAUGGUAAAAAAAAAAAAAACAUCUUUUCUAAUAAAAAUAAGAUGCUAUUUAAACAAGAGGUUAAAUGAAAUCUAUCCUCUCCAUUGACCUUUCAGACUGUGGUAAGCAGAGAACAUACAGUGCCAAUUUUAUGACACAGUCACGUCAAACAAAUUGUAUGUGAUAUAUUUUAGUUACAAUUUCAAAGAAGGUUUUGAUGUAAGAGUCAGAAGGGAACAGUAACUUCAUGGACCAACCACCUAAUGCCUAAGACAUGCCAUAUGCAAGAACAUUCCCUUAACCACGGAGUUUUCUGGUUCAUUUCCUUGAAGUACUCCAAAUUUUUCCUGUCGUUACCCUGAGAAGUCACAAGCAAAUCUGAUGGCGAUGUCAAAGUCUUAGAGGUGUCUGGCAUUUGUUUGGGUACUGGGCUGGCAAUUUUCUCAUUUGUGUUUUUCCUUCCUCUCCUUCUGCAGGUGAUGAUCUAGUUGCAGUGAUUUUUCAUACCUACGUAUAUUAGGGUUCUUGCAGCUUAAAUUUCAGAGGAGGCCUGUGUACAUUAGAAUCUUGUAAAUCUGAAUUGCUUUCUUGUGACACUGUUCAGUAAAUAAGGAAUGGAGGAAUCACUUCAAAAUCAUUAGAAAUAUCUGUACCACGGUUGCCGUUGCUGACUUCUGUGACAGGAAUAUUUCAAAUACCUGGCUAUAGACCAAAGAAAUGUAAGCUUCAAAAGUGGGCUCGUCACCGUAUGUGAAAACCCAGCCUUUGCUAAGCAUAAGAAUCAUGAGUUCCUUUGGGGGAUUUAGCCUGAAAUGAACAUGAUUUCUUUUCUUCUAAAGCUUCUUCCCCGCAGUUGCUGUUUCUCUCUGUGCAUAUAGAGGGAAAGCAUUGCUAUUGCCAUCAUUAGCGUACAGCGUCUUGUUUUAAUUUUUAAUGUAGGCUUCUAUUUGCCACAGAGGCGAAAGCUGUGGAAGCCUUCUGCCUUUGAAGAACUACUUAAGAAGAAAUGGUUCUGAAGUGCAUUUAAGGGUGUUUACUUUAGGCACUUUAUUUUUUUCUUUAUUUUUAUUCUGAUUGGAAUUGGCUAGUGUUAUUCAUUAAACUAACAAUUUCUCCCCUGCCUGUCCUUAAGUGUGACUUGUGACCUUGCAAUCUGUGUAUUUUGUCAUCACAAUGUGUUACCAUGGAACUGAUUUUGAUGUCAUGAAUAAGGGCAUUGUGAGUUUCCACGUUCCCAAGCAUAUUUGAGACACAGGUUUGGAAACAAAAAUGACUUCACCAGUUAAAUAUUGUUAGAUCCUAUAGUAUAUCAAAGGUAAGAACACUUGUGCCCUAUAUUCCUUUACAUAGAAGAAUCUAAGGUUAAGAAUUUCAAAGCAGGUAUAUACAAGAAUGACACUACAAAUAACAUUUCACAAGAUUAAAUAUUUUGUGAGAAUUGAACUCUAACCCCUUUAUGUUACUAUAGACAAAAAUCUUUCUUACUGCUCGUCAAGACUUCUCAGACUGUCUAAUAUGGAGCCUGUGUAAGAGGAAGAAACCCAGUGUGCACAACAGCACUGGGAUGCUGCUGGGACUUAACUCCUUCAAGACAAUAGUGGCCGAAGGGAAUUUUCUGCCUGAGAUCGCUCACAGGCAGACAGAGGGCAAUGUAACAUUGCUGGUUUUGAAGCUAAGCAUAAUAUUUGAGCAUUUUUCAGAAGCGAGACU
Long non-coding RNA from Neopsephotus bourkii (Bourke's parrot), 5543 nucleotides. RefSeq lists it as uncharacterized. The transcript is spliced from 3 exons. NCBI's taxonomy places the organism in Eukaryota, Metazoa, Chordata, Aves, Psittaciformes, Psittacidae. The record is from RefSeq and is a predicted model, not a curated record.